Molecule: long non-coding RNA, 1526 nt
Organism: Oreochromis aureus
Lineage: Eukaryota; Metazoa; Chordata; Actinopteri; Cichliformes; Cichlidae
Source: Ensembl
AUUUGAUAGCUUGCUGCGAGACCUCACACCGUGCACAUCUACUGUGGGUGUGGUGCCUGUUAUCGGACCCGGAGUUAGCAACAUCCCCCAAAAACCUGAAGAGUAGAGUCCUGGCCCCUAGCCCUGUCAGCGUAGCAGAAAUGAUGAGGAUGAUGAUGGCAGCAGCAGCCGUUCUUCUCUGCAGUUCCCUCAAACUGUAAGAGAAAUUUCGUCUUGUUGGCGUUUGACCCUGAUGGAGAUGUGGUUAAGUGCAGAAAUGGAGAUGCAUUACUGUCAGAGUGUAAUCCAUACACUCCACCAUCUGUCCUCAGCCUCUCACCAUCUUGUACUCUGUCAUUCAGACCCACUGAUAGCAGUAAUGAAGGUCCAUAUGCAGUACAGCUGGUGAUGGAGGACUUUCCCCGGCAGAACAUAACCCUGACUCAAACCAAUGGGACACAGACUAAUCUAACUACCAACAAUGCAAUCAGCAAAAUACCGGUCCAGUUCGUUAUAAGGGUGGAUCCUGCAGUGCCAUCCUGCACAGACGGACUCUAUCUGCCCAAGAUCCUGCCUCCAACUCCAGCCAACGGAGCUCAGCUAUAUACCCCUGUUGGACAAACUCUAGAAAUCAGCAUCAAAGCAGAGGCAACAAAUUCCAUGUAUGUGAAAGAGAAAACAAAAUUAAAAUACCAAAGUUUAAAGAUAGGUUUUGCUACUGGCAGCGGUUGGACAAGAAAUACCACUCUACGUUGGAAGACUUUCUAUACUCUCCAAAAUGUGAUACAGGAAAAGACAAGACCAAGAACAAACUUGAAUACCACCUAACAUUCAGAGUAGUGCUGUCAGCGUUAAUCUCGUUAAAAUGGCGUUAACGCCAUAACCGCAUUAACGUGGCAAAUCUCUGUUAGCGAGUUAACACGGAUCGCCCCAUGUGAGGUGCUGCGAGGAGCUAACGCGUUAACGAGUUAACCGUGCUAACGCAUUGGCGCCAUGCAGCCCUCGAGAUUUGCCACAUUAAUGCAGUUAUGACAUUAACGUCAUUUUAACGAGAAUAACGCUGACAGCACUAAUUCAGAUACAUAAAAAACUUGAAAAAUGUUGAUUUGACUACUUUUAAGUUGUGUGGAAUUACAGGGAUUAUUUUACAUAACCACCAUCUUAUCAUUGCAUUAAUUAUCAUUUCAUCAAAGUGUUUAUUGAAGCUGCUGGCAUUAUGUUAUAAUUUAUAUUAUAGGGGUUAUCCUAAUCAAAUAUUAACAUGUUUAUUACAGGUGCAGUUAUAACUACUUUAAAAUGAUUGAGUUAAAUAUAUAUGUAUCAUAACUCAUAUGCUGAGUAUAUUGGUAGAGUAAAAUAGUAGCUGAGUAAAGGCCUGAAUGUAUUCAGCUUCUUGUGGUAUUUGAGUUUGCUUAGUUACAGGUGACGGAAGGAUGUCCAGUCCAUGGUGACCUCAAAAGCCUUAGGUCAUCACCAUAUUCGGAAGAGUAUGCCACAAGGAGGAACCUCUAUGUUGCAUUUAAUUCUUAAAAUACAUGAAUGUUCUG